GUGGACUGAAAUGGCCACAAACACAGAACUCAUCUUAUCAUUUGCAUGCAGUGAUUUGGGAUAGCUUUGUCAGUGUCAUUUGGCAGCAUAGGGAAGUCUUCUUCCCUUUUCUUUUAUCUUUUAAAGGCUGCUGGCUCUGGGAAAGAUGGAAGGUAGCAGCUUUUAAAAGUUAAAGUGAGGCGUGGAAAAAUAAGAACCUCCAUAGCCUUCAUAUUAAGUCAGCUCUCCCACUAGAAUAGCCUGGAUUGCUUUGUGCUGCCUUCCUGCAACUACAAAACGCUAAGAGGAGGAACCAUUGGGUUGUUGUUUUUAUUUUGGUUAUGUAUUUUGUGGUUUUAUUUUUUGAUUUUAUUCUGUGAACCGCCCUAAGACCUCCGGGUAUAGGGCGGUAUAUAAAUCCAAUAAAUAAUAAGAAUUAAUAAUAAUAUUAACCAGCCAUGAUUUAAGACUGGAAUUAUUUCUUGAGAUCUGUAAACAAUACAAAACAGUUUUAAUUAUGCAAAAGCAACUCCAUGUCUAGGUAGUGUUUUAAUUCAUGACUCUUACACCUGUGUGUAUCAGUGUGUUUCUGCUACUAGAAAUUAGUACUGUAUAUGAAUAGUUGGUAAUUUCUAAGCAACAUAAAACAGCAUUUAAGCCAUUAAGGAAUGGUACAAAGAAUAAUCGUCAGAUAAAGGACUUUCAGGUUAAGGUUCUUUAUUGGAAUUAAAUAAACGAAGGAAGUAAUUAUGGAACAUUUAGUUACACCAUAAUAUUUACUUUGUACUUAAUAGUAAGCAAACAACAUUCCAGGCUGUGAUUUAACCUUUAGUGUAUUUAAUCCAUGCUUAACAUUUUAAUUUGAAAAGACCAUGGCUUUAUUGAAAAAUGGAAAGCCUUUGUGUAUUCUUCUGUAACAUAAGACAAACAACAAAUUAAGUAAUCUGUGGUAUUUUGUCUUGCUGGAAUUACAUCUGCUUUCACACCUUUUUCUCAGUAAUGAAAUGUUAGUGGGGACUUUUCUUUCACAUUUUAAGCUAGCACUCCUCUUCGAUCUCUUGCCAGCUUUUGCCCCCCCCCCCCGCCAGGCUCUAAAUCGGUUUUAAACAAGACAUGAUAGAGAUGUUUGAAAUCCUGCCUUUGUAAAAUUACCACCAUACAUCCCGAAUGGUAACAGAUGUUCCAAGGGUGCUCCCCAAUGUUUUGUCCUUAGGAAAUUUCAAUUAGUUCUAAUACUGGGCAAACUUGCAGCAGAAAAGGUUGAGUGUCUUGUUGUAGUUGUGUGGAGGAUUUUUGUAGUAAGUUUCAGAGGAGGAUUCAGUGACUUGCACUCUAUGAUUUCCUGUGUCCGUUGCAAAUCCAAGAAUAUCAGUACAGUCCUAGCUGGGACUCAGGGCAUGGAACAGCAGAUUCUUCACCACAUUCUCAGCCCUGCUGGUUCCUACAAAAAAGCAGGCAGCUUCACAACCUAUUUUGCUGCACCAAUGCCAGGCUAGCAUAGCUUACAGAUCUAAAUUGGGCUCUCUGCAAUAAAGUGACUAGCUUUAUGUCCUCCAGAGGUUUUGGCAACUACCAUCAUCCCUGACCACUGGUCAUGCUAGCUGAUGAGAGAUGUAGUCCAAAACAUUGAGGUCACCAAGACUUCUCAAGUGAAAAAUAUAGAUGAGAAGUAUAUCUCAAACUAUGUAUAUCUAGCUGUAACCACCUGCAUGAUAGAUUGAAUACCACUCUGCCUUUCCGAGAUGAUUCCAGUUUAUUGUCCCGUCAUCCAUGUACUAAUCAGACUUGCUUAAACUGUAAAGGAAAAAGUCCCCAAGCUACAUGCAACAUCUUAAAAUCAUGUUAACAGCGCCAUCAUUGUUACAUUAGGGUGAGAUUCUUCUCCUGUUGUGUAUAGAGGAAACUAAGCCAAACUAUUCCCGUGCAGCAACUUGUUUUGAAAGGGUAAUUAUUUUGAUGGUUGUAAAUUGGCCUUUCCUUCCUAAACACAUGACUGGCAAUGUCUCUGUUUUUCUAAUGCUGAUGCAAAUGUUUUAUUGUGAAACCACAACUUUACAUUGGACAAAUGUAUAACACUCUGAGAAUAUCCAACCUUCUUUGUUGCUAGCUACUGAAGUAAUUUAACUGUGUAUGUGUGUCUGAGUAAACAGAACCUUAGAAUCUGAGAACAAUAUUUGAAGGCAUUCAAGACAUUGAAGACAUUUGAAGACAGCCUAAUUGUUGUCAGGACCGACACUGAUACACAUACAUAGUGGCAUGGAAGCCCACUUCCUCACACUGCAAUUCCAAAUGAGUGUGUGAAUGAGGCAGCCAUAGGAGCUGAGUGUUCUCCUACCUCUUGGUGUAUGGCUAAGAGGAGGGCAACAAUAAUGUGAAGAAGAUUUCUGGGGGCAUAAGUUUGGAUUGCAGUGAUGGGAAAAUGGCAUAUGAAUAGGACCAGGAGCAUAUGAAUAGGACCAGACUUUUGGGAAGUGGAUACUGGGCCUUUUCACACAUUAUAUUCUUGCAGCAGCAAGUCCUUCCUGGCAGCAAAUAGGAAGGAGUAAAAUGUAGUCUAUAAAAAUAUUGAUUGUUGUUGUUCAUAAAAACUUAGUUAUCCUUACUUAUUCUGACCCUUUCCACUAACAGCACACAGAAGCAUGCUGUAGUGAGCUUCUCAGACUCUUACCUCACCCCACAAAACAACUGGUCACCAAGAGAUGAGAAAAGCGCCUCUUAGUAUUCCUUCCCACCAUCAGCUACAGUCCAGUAUGAAACAGCUAGACAGCCAGAUUCGCAGCUGCUGGAACAUUUUACUUCUUUAGUAUUCUGUCUCUUCCACUUCCCUAUUCUUGGUCUCCUGCUUCUUGCAUUCCAUUGGUCUUCUGUGUUCCUGCUCUUUGCCUUCUACCUUUCCCUUCUGGGCUUCUGUGACAUCACAGCAGUUUGAAUUGGUUUCCCAGAGUUAAGAGCAAAUGAACAAGUAGGAAAAGUUGCCUUGGGAGAUUUCAAAUCUCCUUCUAGAAGUUUUAAAAAGAGAAGUUAGGUAAGAUCUGUCAGGAGUUUGUUGGGUAUCAUAAAUAUUUUGGCAUAAAGCUACAGGUUAUGGCCUCAGAGAUGCUUGGUCAGCAUUAUGAUUCAGUUUUCAGACACCUUAAACAGGAUUUGUAUUAUGAACUCAAGGCCUAUCUGUCAGCUUAUAUCAGCACAUUAUUCAAAUUAAAUUUUAAAGAAGACAGUUUUACUGUGAGCAUGGUACUUAAGUCAUGCAUGUAUGAUGGUAUGUGUCUAUAAACAGACCAAAAUAUAAGGCCUAUGCUGAAAGAGUAGCUGUGUUUUGUUAACACUGUGUUAUUUUUCAGUGUGAGACUCUAUUGGUUUCCAUUAACUUGCCUUCCAAAAUUGAUUUUGCUAGAACAGGAAAAAGAGCCUUAGAAGCUUACAAAAUUAUAUUAUAUCAAACCAGUUUAGCAAGAAUUCCUCAAACAUUAUUCUCAUCUUACUUUCAAAUAUUUGAAAACUUGUUCUUGUAUUUUGAUAUUGUAUGAGGGGAAAAAAGCCUAUGGUUGCAAUCCUAUGCAAGCUCAGGUGUACAUCUCAGCUCAGUUGGAUUUACUCUUAGUUAAUAUGCAUAUGAGUGACCUACUGGUCUGUUAAGUUUAUUGUUAUCAGUACCUAUUUGCCCAUGUUGAAGUUUUCUUGUGGGGUUUUUUUUUAAAAUACAAAGCUGCCUGUAACACUUCAAAGCCAAAGGUGACAGUAUUGAACUUUUAGCUGAACAGCAUAAUGUGCUAGUCAGAGUGGUGCUAAGAUGGCUGUUUAGUAUGCUUUCUUUGGCAUAAAAAUCAAAGGCAACAUUUGCCUCUUUCUUUUUAAUUAAGUAUCUUUAGGUUAAUAAGUGUCAAGUGUUUUGCCAUUGGGGAUCUCAAAGGACUGGAUCCACUUUCCUAAACAGACUGCCUGACUGCUCAGUUCCACUUCUUGUUUUGUUCUUUGUUUUGGUUUUGUUCUGGGUUGUUGUUUUUUAAAUUAAGUGUCAUGCUCAGUUGUGCAAGUUGGAGAACACAGAAACCAGCAUUGGUUGCAAAGGGGAUUGCCUUAGGCUUAAGUGGUUUUUCCCACGCCUUAUUCUUAGAUUCCCAAAUAACUUGGUAUCCAGACUUUGAAUAAGAACCCCAACAUUUGAUCCUUGUGCUCAGAUUUAGACAGUAAUCCUAUGUAUGCUUACUUGGGAGGAGGUUCCAUUGAACACAUAUGAACUUGCUUCCUAAUAAGCAUAUGUAGGGUUGGACUUCGUAAGGCUUUGUGGUAUAUAAGAUUACAUGCACCUGUGGUUCCGUAGUCAGCCUUCAUCACAGGUUCACAUAAAAGUAGCCUUUAAGCACAACGACUUUGAAGGAACCCAUAUGGGACACAUACUCGUCCAGCAAUUGUGCUGGGGCUAAUCCUCUUUGAGUGAGAACAACCUGUGCAAAACAUAUUGUGUGAAUGGUUUGACCGAAGGAACUGCUUGUACCUCACAGUCUAUAAAGCUGCUAUUGCUGGGGUCACAUAAAGCCUUAUUUUAAAAGGAUUAGACAAUUCCAUAGAGGACAGAUUUAUCAGUGGUUGUUAGCUAUGAUUACAUGAACUAUAAUUUGGAGGGAAAGGGUUGUUGGCUUUUUGCCCUGAUUGUGGGCAUCUCAAGACUCUGGCUGCUUUUGGAAACAGGAUAGGACAGGGAUGGGGGAGACGGGAUCUCUUUUCGCCCAAGAACCACAUUCCCUUCUGGGCAACUUUCCAGGGGCCACAUGCCAGUGGUGGGCAGGGCAACAAAUGUACAUUUUACCUCUGUGCAGUAAGCUAGUUUCUACAUAUACCCACACACCCGUUUCUGUCUUCCAUCCAGGCAAGCAAGAGACGUUAUCAGAGUUCAGGUAUACAUUCCAGCCAGGCAAAAACACUCAAGGAAGAUGUGAAAUAGAGCUAUUGGAUGACAUGGCCUGGGAAGUGUGGGAGGUGGCCUUGGGAGAGUUCUGAGGAUCAGAUAGAGAAACCUGGAGGACUGCAUUUGAUUCCCAGGCCAGAAGAUACCUCAGCUUUGCUGUAGGAUUAUCCAUCAUGGUGCACUUCAUAUGCUGCUGGACUCUGGCUUCCAUCAGCCCUAACCCUUAGCCAUGCUUGCUUAUUCUGAUGGGAUUUGUAGUCCAUUGGUGCCAUCUGAAGGGUACCAUGCUACCUGUAGCCCACCCUUACCUGACCUGAUGCCCUCCAGGUGUUUUGUGCUGCAAAUCUCAUCAGCACAGCCCACUGUUGGGAAUGGCAGGACUUGUAGUCCAAAACAUUUGGAGGGGGUACCAGGUUAAUCUUAAAGCUCCCAUAGAUCCUUGUUGUGAUUCAGCAAGGCUAUCAUAAGCUCCUGUUU
Podarcis lilfordi (Lilford's wall lizard) is the source of this 5362-nucleotide non-coding RNA. The record is from the annotation of a GenBank genome assembly. NCBI's taxonomy places the organism in Eukaryota, Metazoa, Chordata, Lepidosauria, Squamata, Lacertidae.